RNAcentral lists this ribosomal RNA (252 nucleotides) under uncultured bacterium. Its description in RNAcentral is "partial 16S ribosomal RNA". It matches the Rfam family "Bacterial small subunit ribosomal RNA", at positions 524 to 775 of the family's 1533-position model. The record is from RNAcentral.
GACGAACCGUGCGAACGUUGUUCGGAUUCACUGGGCUUAAAGGGCGCGUAGGCGGAGGAUCAAGUCGGUGGUGAAAUCGUUCGGCUCAACCGGACAAUCGCCUUCGAUACUGGUUCUCUCGAGGGGGGUAGGGGCAUGCGGAACUUCGGGUGGAGCGGUGAAAUGCGUAGAUAUCCGAAGGAACGCCGGUGGCGAAAGCGGCGUGCUGGACCCUUUCUGACGCUGAGGCGCGAAAGCCAGGGGAGCAAACGG